CCAAAAUGCGCCAAGGUCGGACGCGCCCGAGCGAGGGAGCGGAGGCGACUCGGCCGCCAUGUUAGGAGUGCCGGGAGGACUCCGCGGAGCCGCCCGGAGGUUCAGGGAGCGCGGGAUCCGAGUGGUGGUGCGGUGGGGACGGUGAGGUGGAGAGCAAGCCGAUGGGAGAACCUUGGGCCACGAUCCGGUGGGGAGCCGGGUGGAAGCCGCCCUGGGGACUGAUGUCCUGCGGGUCCAACUGGGGGUGGCAUCUGGAUGGAGGCCGAGUGAGCCUCCGCCUCACGGUCCUGCAGGGUUGCAUGGAGCCCCACGCCCCCCGCCCCAUUUUCUAAGGGAUUGAGGGAGUUGUUUUACUUCUGGGAGUGGAGGCUCCCUUAGACUGGCUAGCAGGACCGUCGCGGUGGUUGCCUCUGCUGAGGUGCUGCCGGCUUUCACCUAAGGAGUUGGGGGAAACUUUGUCCUUAUUUGUGUCUUCUUGCUAUUUAUUUGCAACAAUCAUGCCCCCUCUACUAGGUUUGGGCCUUCACUUAUUUCUCAUACGGAAGUGAUUUGCAAAGGUCUUAAAAGAAACCGUUAUUGGAAGGUACGGGCUAGAAGGGAACAUUGCUUUGGCCUUGAAGAUGAGAAAAAAACAUGGAGCAGCCUAAAGGAGAAACACCCAGUUGAACGACAACUCACUGACUGGAGAAAGCAGGGAGGUUGAAAGGGCAUAUUAUUUAUAGGCUUACCGAGGGCGGGUGAACUGAUCCGGAGUAACACUGGUUCUUGGAUAAACGAAGCGUAUGCUAAGUUGAUUAACAUGGAUUGCCAGUUUAUUUUAAAAAUUCAUUUAGUAUGUGGUAUUCCAUACGUAUGACUGCUUUAAGAACUUUUAAGUCAUUUUGCCCAGUCUCUUAAAUGAACUGUAUUUUUUUCCCCAAUUGUGUUACUAAAACAGAAUUGUAUGUUUGUUCUUUUCCAGAGUCUGUCUACACUAUGGAAAGAUGGGAAAUUUCAUUUCCUGCUGAGGGUGUCUCAAGGGUUAAAGAAAAUGCUGUUAUCUGUGCUUCCCCCACCUACUUCUCCCUUUUGCACUUUAUUCUGAGAACAGAAUUGACUGUGGUUUGGGGGGGUUAGUGGAGGUAUGCACUAUAUCUCUAUUAGGACAUAAUAAAAUUAGAGCAGAUAGUUUCUCCUAUUAAAAAAAAAAAAGGCUAGUCAGAGUGAUUUUAAAUGACCAAAACAGGCAGAAACAGUCUUUCAGAUGUAUGCAGAUGAUAAUUAUAAAAACAGAAUUUGAAAGACUCAACAUAUGUCAUGUUCCUGGGAACAAGCCACAAGAUGAGUCACUUUGUUUCAUUCUUACACAAAGGUAAAUUGUUGGUGUCAUUUAUCCAUGAAUACAACCAUGUACAAGGCUCAUACAAAUAGUAUGUUAUUCAGAAACACUUUUGCAAAUACUGAUGGUAAGUAGUUGGAAAGAAGCAAAUGCUUACUUUUUUUUUUUUUCUGACCUCUGGCUUACCUUAGAAAUGUUUUGAGCUAAUAAAUCUUGUGCAUUUUAUAAGACAGUUAUGUAAGCAACAGCCUUAGUUUGAGUUACUGUGAAAGGCCAGUAUAUAGUGGGGAAAGGAACAGAAUGCUCAAAAAUCUUACGUGUGAAAAAUAAGAGUGAUAUCUUUUUAAGUUUAAAGUUUUUAAGUUUAAAGUUGUUCAUCUGAACAUCUGGCCAUACGUGAAACGAAUGUAUUUAGUAUCCUUAAAAUUGUCCGUGAUUUAAUUCUUUUUUUUUUCUUUUAAACUUUUUUUUUUUUUAGUUGUAGUUGGACACAGUGCCUUUAUUUUAUUUAUUGCUGUGUGAUGCUAAGGAUCGAACCCAGCGCCUCGCACAUGCUAGGUAGCACUCCACUACUGAGCCACAAUCCCAGCCCCUCCAUGAUGUAAUUCUUACUUUGAUGAGGGGGGAAAAAUUCCACACUCCUGUUUAGAAAUUUGAUUUACAAAUUAAUAUCUGUGGGUCUGUGAUGCUAGCUUCUGAAAGAAUAGCCUGAGGAAAAUAUUGAAUUAGAAAAACAUUUUAAAAUUGGAAUUAGGAAAGAGAUAAACUACAUUCAAGUAUCAUAGGUAGCACAUUUAAGAGUAUUGAGUCAGUUGCAUUUAGAGCAGAGGUUUUUUUCAACAAGGAUAAGUGUCAGGAUUGCCUAUAAAAAUCUAAAAAUAUAUUACUACUGCCCAUCCAUCCCUGUUGAAUUGGAACCAACUAUUGAGUAUUUUUAGAACUUUAUAAGUGUGACUACAGGGCUUGGGUGGAGUAGUCUUCUGCAUCCUGUAUUUGUGUUUUUGUAUUAUCUAAAGCAAGGAAUAACAAAAAGAUUUUGGCAAAAACUAGUUAAUUGCUGAUUUUAUCCAUGUGAUUUCUGAAAGUGUAGAUGAGGGAUUCACCUGGUGAUCAACUUAAACAUGGCAUUUGGGAAGCAAAUGCAGCUGAAAUUGGGGAGAAGAAAUCAAUGUUAACCUUAAAAGUACUGCCAUAUCAUCACUUACCUAGAUGUUUCUGAGAGUGAAGGUUUAGCCUAAUCCUAACAAAGCCUAAUAAUAAGAGACACCCAGUAAUAGCACAAUGCCAGUAAGAGCUCAUUGCCAUGAUAAAAUCAUGGUAGUUAUUCAGAAAGAGGCAACAUGAUAUUUUGGUUUGGGGAAUUUUCUGGAAAUAACAACCCUUUGCCCUAAAUCUAGAAUUUUUUUAGAUUAUUGAUAUUGUAACGUUCUUGAUAUUUGAGUAUCUAAAGUCAUAUAGGCCCCUUUUUAGAAAUGAGAAAUCUUACAGAUCGUCUAAGACAUGUUCUACAGAAGAGGAAAUGGACACAGUAAAUUUUAAAAUUACUAGUGGUCACACUGCACGCUAGUGGUAAGACGCAUAGCUAAAGGUGAAAUCCAGUUCCUUCCAUCUUUAGUGCUAUGCGCAUUUUUUUUAAGCUCCAGAUUUUUUUCCCCUAUGAUACUCGAGGGUUUAUACAUUUCAGUAUAUAUUUGAUUUUAGUGUUGGAAUCUCAGACAAUUUAAAAAAUUGUAAAAUAGAAGAAACGUUUAUUUUUUAGGUUUGUUGUCUUGUGAUGGGGUCUUGUUAUGUUCCAUGCUGACCUGGAACUUCUGGGUUCCAGCCAAGCUAUCCUCCCACUUCGAUGUCCUAGAGUCACUGGGAAUACAGACAUGUUCCUGGUGCCUGGCUUCUGCAAAUUCUUUGGUUCACUGAAUUUGUCUACAGUCUUUACAUUCAAAGUCCAGUUACAUUCUUUUCAUCCAUAUUUGCUGAUGAUUAAGAUAAGACCUAAGAGAAUAAGCAGUUUAAAUGUUUAAAUUAAUCGCAGGAUUUAAACAAACUUUAAUACAUCUUUAGAGGAGGGAGGUACAUUUGGAGAUACUAUUAGCCUGAAUUCCUACUGUUUUAGUUUGAAGUCCAUUUUUUUAUUUUUAGUUGUAGAUAGACACAAUACUUUUGUUGGGGAGGGGGUUAAUUUUUUUUUUUUUAUUUUAGAUGUUCAUGGACCUUUAUUUUAAUGUGGUGCUGAGAAUUGAACCCAGUGCCUCACACAUGCUAGGCAAGCACUGUACCCAUGUGGUGCUGAGGAUCAAACCCAGUCCCUUUCAUGUGCUAGGCAAGUGCUCUACCACUGAGCUAUAGCCCCAGCCCUUGAAGUCCAUUUUUAAUGGUUUGCUUUUAUCACAAAAAAAAAUUUAUAACAUUCUAGGGCUGGAUUUGUGGCACAGUGGUAGAGCACUCGCCUUGCACAGGUGAGGUACUAGGUUCAAUCCUCAGCACCACAUAAAAAUAAAUUUUUAAAAAUUUCUAUAACAAAGCCUUGACAAUAGAUAAUAGCAGGGGUGUUGAUGAAAGUUCAGUGAAAUAGGACUGGAGUUGUAGCUUGGUGGUAAUACGCUUACCUAGCAUAUGUGAGACACUGGGUUUGAUUCUCAGCACCAUAUAUAAAUAAAUAAAGAUCCAUUAACAACUAAAAAAAUAUAAAAAGAAGAAACUUAAGUGAAAUAAUAAGUCAAAUUUGUAUGACAAGUUCACAUUAAAAUAUAGCUCCAUUUCUUCCUUUGAUAUAAUGACAAUAUAGGGCAACAAUCUUUUAGCCUAUAACGGUAAGAAAUGUGGCAUGCCUAUUGCUGGGUUGCGUUACUAUGUAACUAUGGUUAUGCCUGGGAUGGCUUAACUUGAAGAAAAUUACAUAAUGAUUUUCCCAGUUUACCUGGACAGUUUGAAAAGCCUCACAAUUGAUUAUGAAAAUCAGACCCUGUCUUUACUGAAAAUCAGUAGUUAAUUCCCUAAAAGAAUAGUUAGAAUGCCUAAAUUUAUAAAAAAGUAUUAGAAUUACUUUGUACCUUACCAAGUUUUGAAAUAAUCCUUUUCAUAUUCUGACCUAUGAAGUUUGGAAAACCUGCCAUCUGCUAUGUUGCCUACCCUUCCGGUUCAGCAAUUGUCUUACCAAUUCCAGAAAUGCAGUGCCAAUAACCCAAAGGUGAUAACAGGCCCAGAAGUUACAUUAAAACUUACUCUGACCAACAAAUAAAAGUAAUCAAGACAAUAAGCAAACUUAAAGGGAGAAAAUAAAAACAUUACAAAAAUGUCUUUUCAGACCUCCCCUAAGAUUGAGUUAAAGGUUUUCAGCCAGUAUUUUCAUAAGUAGUUACAGAUAAGCCUGCCAUUUAGGUUUAGUAACUAGAGUUUCUCCAGGGAAGAUCUUUAAUUCUGUACAGGAAGAAAAAAAUUCUUCCUGUACAGAAUUAAAGAUCUUCCCUGGAGAAACUCUAG
RNAcentral lists this long non-coding RNA (4795 nucleotides) under Marmota monax (woodchuck). The record is from RNAcentral. Lineage: Eukaryota; Metazoa; Chordata; Mammalia; Rodentia; Sciuridae.